AGCCUUCUGUAUCUGUGCUGAGAUUUCGUCACACAUCAGACCACAAGGGCUGAUGAGACUUCCAAGAUAAGUGAAGCG
Schistosoma haematobium is the source of this 78-nucleotide non-coding RNA. NCBI's taxonomy places the organism in Eukaryota, Metazoa, Platyhelminthes, Trematoda, Strigeidida, Schistosomatidae. The record is from Rfam.